GAGUCUUAGACAAUGGGGGACAGCCUGACCUAGCCAUGCCGCCCGAUCGAAGGAGGCCUUCGUGCUGUAAAUAUCUUUCAGCUGGGAAGAUAAUAACAGUACCAGCAGAAGAAGCCCCGGCUAACUCCGUGCCAGCAGCCGCGGUAAUACGGAGGGGGCUAGCGUUAUUCGGAUUUACUGGGCGUAAAGCGCACGUAGGCGGAUCAGAAAGUCAGGGGUGAAAGCCCGGGGCUCAACCUCGGAACUGCCUUUAAAACUCCUGGUCUUGAGGUCGAGAGAGGUGAGUGGAAUUCCGAGUGUAGAGGUGAAAUUCGUAGAUAUUCGGAGGAACACCAGUGGCGAAGGCGGAUCACUGGCUAGAUACUGACGCUGAGGUGCGAAAGCGUGGGGAGCAAACA
This 398-nucleotide ribosomal RNA is filed under the name uncultured bacterium. Its description in RNAcentral is "partial 16S ribosomal RNA". It matches the Rfam family "Bacterial small subunit ribosomal RNA", at positions 359 to 774 of the family's 1533-position model. The record is from RNAcentral.